AAUAGAUAUAAGGCCUGUAAGUCACCUGACCUGGGUUGUCUUCUCCCUUCUUCUCGUCUCGUGCUCGCUUUCGGAUCAUCUCGCUGCUGCUCCCAACUGCAUGCAAGGCUUCAGUAUUAGUGUAACAAACUAUAGAGGAAAGAUGUAUAUACUAAAUGACAAGGAGAUGAAUGCUGAAGUUUCCAUGUGCAUUCAAGUGUUUGGUGUUUCUACUCUUCUUCCAUUUGAGAAGACCAUAUAUAUGAUAUUGCUGCCAUUAUAAUGACAUUCUUCAACAAGGAAGAUGCGUCUUUUUAUGGGCAUUGGCACCAUUUACAGGAUCCACAUUUAUGCAAGUCUGUUCUGUAUUUCAUUUAAAUAAAGCCUCC
Long non-coding RNA from Gallus gallus (chicken), 368 nucleotides. NCBI's taxonomy places the organism in Eukaryota, Metazoa, Chordata, Aves, Galliformes, Phasianidae. The record is from Ensembl.